Molecule: ribosomal RNA, 253 nt
Filed under: uncultured bacterium
Lineage: Bacteria
Description: partial 16S ribosomal RNA
Rfam family: Bacterial small subunit ribosomal RNA
Source: RNAcentral
UACGUAGGUGACCAGCGUUGUCCGGAUUUACUGGGCGUAAAGAGCGCGCAGGCGGUCGUUCAAGUCGAGUGUGAAAGCCCCCGGCUCAACUGGGGAGGGUCAUUCGAUACUGAUCGACUCGAAGGCAGGAGAGGGUAGUGGAAUUCCCGGUGUAGUGGUGAAAUGCGUAGAUAUCGGGAGGAACACCAGUGGCGAAGGCGACUACCUGGCCUGUUCUUGACGCUGAGGCGCGAAAGCUAGGGGAGCAAACCGG